RNAcentral lists this small nuclear RNA (163 nucleotides) under Pogona vitticeps (central bearded dragon). RNAcentral's name for it is "U1 spliceosomal RNA (ENSPVIG00000002202.1)". It matches the Rfam family "U1 spliceosomal RNA". From Rfam's summary of the family: U1 is a small nuclear RNA (snRNA) component of the spliceosome (involved in pre-mRNA splicing). Its 5' end forms complementary base pairs with the 5' splice junction, thus defining the 5' donor site of an intron. There are significant differences in sequence and secondary structure between metazoan and yeast U1 snRNAs, the latter being much longer (568 nucleotides as compared to 164 nucleotides in human). The record is from RNAcentral. Lineage: Eukaryota; Metazoa; Chordata; Lepidosauria; Squamata; Agamidae.
AGAGUUGGACACGACUAAACGACGAUGAAAAAAUGAUAUUCCUAGGGGGAGGCUCAUCCAUUGUGCUUUGGGUGUGCUGCUGAUCCCUGUGAUUUCCCUAAAUAUGGGGAACUCAGCUGCAUAAUUUAUGUUAAUGAGGGGGUUACAUUUAUUAUUUCCCUGU